GUGGGGAAUCUUGCGCAAUGGGCGAAAGCCUGACGCAGCCAUGCCGCGUGAAUGAUGAAGGUCUUAGGAUUGUAAAAUUCUUUCACCGGGGACGAUAAUGACGGUACCCGGAGAAGAAGCUCCGGCUAACUUCGUGCCAGCAGCCGCGGUAAUACGAAGGGGGCUAGCGUUGCUCGGAAUUACUGGGCGUAAAGGGCGCGUAGGCGGACAGCUUAGUCAGAGGUGAAAGCCCAGGGCUCAACCUUGGAAUUGCCUUUGAUACUGGGUGUCUUGAGUAUGAUAGAGGUGUGUGGAACUCCUAGUGUAGAGGUGAAAUUCGUAGAUAUUCGGAAGAACACCAGUGGCGAAGGCGACACACUGGCUCAUUACUGACGCUGAGGCGCGAAAGCGUGGGGAGCAAACAGGAUUAGAAACCCCGGUAGUCC
This 425-nucleotide ribosomal RNA is filed under the name uncultured bacterium. RNAcentral describes it as "partial 16S ribosomal RNA". It matches the Rfam family "Bacterial small subunit ribosomal RNA", at positions 354 to 796 of the family's 1533-position model. The record is from RNAcentral.